GAAAUGCGAUAAGUAAUGUGAAUUGCAGAAUUCAGUGAAUCAUCGAAUCUUUGAACGCACAUUGCGCCCCUUGGUAUUCCGAGGGGCAUGCCUGUUUGAGCGUCAUUACACCACUCAAGCUAUGCUUGGUAUUGGGUGCCGUCCUUAGUUGGGCGCGCCUUAAAGACCUCGGCGAGGCCUCACCGGCUUUAGGCGUAGUAGAAUUUAUUCGAACGUCUGUCAAAGGAGAGGACUUCUGCCGACUGAAACCUUUUAUUUUUCUAGGUUGACCUCGGAUCAGGUAGGGAUACCCGCUGAACUUAAGC
This 305-nucleotide unclassified non-coding RNA is filed under the name plant metagenome. Its description in RNAcentral is "partial contains 5.8S ribosomal RNA, internal transcribed spacer 2, and large subunit ribosomal RNA". The stretch from base 1 to 105 matches the Rfam family "5.8S ribosomal RNA", at positions 50 to 154 of the family's 154-position model. The record is from RNAcentral.